UGAGGAAUAUUGGUCAAUGGGGCGAGAGCCUGAACCAGCCAAGUAGCGUGCAGGAUGACGGCCCUAUGGGUUGUAAACUGCUUUUAUGCGGGGAUAAAGUGUGCCAUGUACGGUGUUUUGCAGGUACCGCAUGAAUAAGGACCGGCUAAUUCCGUGCCAGCAGCCGCGGUAAUACGGAAGGUCCGGGCGUUAUCCGGAUUUAUUGGGUUUAAAGGGAGCGUAGGCCGGAGAUUAAGCGUGUUGUGAAAUGUAGUGGCUCAACCUCUGCACUGCAGCGCGAACUGGUCUUCUUGAGUACGCACAACGUGGGCGGAAUUCGUGGUGUAGCGGUGAAAUGCUUAGAUAUCACGAAGAACUCCGAUUGCGAAGGCAGCUCACGGGAGCGCAACUGACGCUGAAGCUCGAAAGUGCGGGUAUCGAACA
This 423-nucleotide ribosomal RNA is filed under the name uncultured Prevotella sp. RNAcentral's name for it is "bacterial SSU rRNA". It matches the Rfam family "Bacterial small subunit ribosomal RNA", at positions 355 to 774 of the family's 1533-position model. Lineage: Bacteria; Pseudomonadati; Bacteroidota; Bacteroidia; Bacteroidales; Prevotellaceae. The record is from RNAcentral.